GGGAGAGAUAGGGGAGUGGUAGAGCGGGGGAGAGAUAGGUGAGAACUAGAGUGAGGGAGAGAUAGGGGAGAGGACAAGCGGGGGAGAGAUAGGGGAGGUGGAGAGCGGGGGAGAGAUAGGGGAGGGGUAGAGCGGGAGAGAGGUAGAGCAGGGGAGAGAUAGGGGAGAGGUAGAGUGAGGGAGAGAUAUGGGAGAGGGCGAGCGGGGGAGAGAUAGGGGAGAGGUAGAGCGGGGGAGAGAUAGGGGCGAGGUAGAGCGGGGGAGAGAUAGGGGCGAGGUAGAGCGGGGGAGAGAUAGGGGCCAGGUAGAGCGGGGGAGAGAUAGGGGCCAGGUAGAGUGAGGGAGAGAUAGGGGAGAGGUAGAGUGGGGGAGAGAUAGGGGAGAGGUAGAGUGAGGGAGAGAUAGGGUAGUGGGUGAGCGGGGGAGAGAUAGGGGCCAGGUAGAGCGGGCGAGAGAUAGGGGGGAGAUAAAGUGAGGGAGUGAUAGAGGCCAGGUAGAGCGGGGGAGCGAUAGGGGAGAUGUAGUGCUGGGAAGAGGUAGAGUGAGGGAGAGAUAGGGGCCAGGUAGAGCGGGCGAGAGACAGGGGAGAGGUGGAGCGGGGGAGAGAUAGUGGAGAGGGCAUGCGGGGGAGAGAUAGAGAAAGUGAGAAAAGAAAGUGGGAGACUGAUGAGUGGAGGGAAAGUGAGGGAGAGAUGAAUGAAAUCCAUUUAUCUUCUCUGUCAUUAGCCC
This is a long non-coding RNA of Oncorhynchus tshawytscha (Chinook salmon), 729 nucleotides long. The record is from Ensembl. NCBI's taxonomy places the organism in Eukaryota, Metazoa, Chordata, Actinopteri, Salmoniformes, Salmonidae.